RNAcentral lists this ribosomal RNA (643 nucleotides) under Fusarium sp. NRRL 43628. RNAcentral's name for it is "eukaryotic LSU rRNA". It matches the Rfam family "Eukaryotic large subunit ribosomal RNA", at positions 1 to 654 of the family's 3401-position model. The record is from RNAcentral. RNAcentral also lists the same sequence under 13 other names. Lineage: Eukaryota; Fungi; Ascomycota; Sordariomycetes; Hypocreales; Nectriaceae.
AACUUCUGAAUGUUGACCUCGGAUCAGGUAGGAAUACCCGCUGAACUUAAGCAUAUCAAUAAGCGGAGGAAAAGAAACCAACAGGGAUUGCCCUAGUAACGGCGAGUGAAGCGGCAACAGCUCAAAUUUGAAAUCUGGCUCUCGGGCCCGAGUUGUAAUUUGUAGAGGAUGCUUUUGAUGCGGUGCCUUCCGAGUUCCCUGGAACGGGACGCCAUAGAGGGUGAGAGCCCCGUCUGGUUGGAUGCCAAAUCUCUGUAAAGCUCCUUCGACGAGUCGAGUAGUUUGGGAAUGCUGCUCUAAAUGGGAGGUAUAUGUCUUCUAAAGCUAAAUAUUGGCCAGAGACCGAUAGCGCACAAGUAGAGUGAUCGAAAGAUGAAAAGCACUUUGAAAAGAGAGUUAAAAAGUACGUGAAAUUGUUGAAAGGGAAGCGUUUAUGACCAGACUUGGGCUUGGUUAAUCAUCUGGGGUUCUCCCCAGUGCACUUUUCCAGUCCAGGCCAGCAUCAGUUUUCGCCGGGGGAUAAAGGCUUCGGGAAUGUGGCUCUCUCCGGGGAGUGUUAUAGCCCGUUGCGUAAUACCCUGGCGGGGACUGAGGUUCGCGCAUCUGCAAGGAUGCUGGCGUAAUGGUCAUCAACGACCCGUCU